AGCACCAGCAUCCCUCUUAGGCAGCUGGCAGUCCACCAAGAAUUCCACCUAACCAUUUAAAGCCAGAGGGAGGCACGUCCCAUCAUGUUUCAGAAGGAGCAGGCACACCUUAUGUCUCACCAAGAGCUGCCCCUCCAAAGGGCAAGGAUUUAAAAGCACUCUCACAAAUCUGCUUGCAGAAAGAUAACUCAGUGUUUCUCAUAAAUCAGGCCACUUGAUUUAACUGCCAAGAUAUUCAACAAAAUUCUUUUUUAGGCUGCUCAUUUUUCAUUGCUUCAGGCUACGUUUAACCAAAUAAUCUUACCAUAAAUCUGGGCUCCCACUGCCAUUCAUUAUGAAGUGAGCCUUGUUUAGAAGUUCUUAGAAUCGGUACAUUCCUCCUGAAUGACAAUCCUCAAACGUCUUUCAUUUCAAAAGGAGCAAAAUGGAAAUCGGUUCUUCUCCAAGUUUACCAGAAGGGCAGCCAAGCACUGAUGUUAUACAGUAAGAUCUCAAACUGGGAACUAGGCAGCUAUUUUAAUCAGUGGACUUAUUUCACGUCUGUCAAGGACAGUAUAUUUAGAACUGGACAAGCUGUUUCUUCACUGCACCCAUAAUCUUAAAAAAAUGACCCAAGCACCGCAUUUCUCAGAUGGGUUCUUUUGCACUUUGGCAAACCCCCAUGAAAGAGCAUUUAGAUAACACUCCAGCUAUCAGCAGGGCCAGGAUUUAAAAAGUGCAAAGAAGCAUCCCCAAAGUGUAGAGCCAGAGCCGUUGUUGCUGUUUAACCAAUCAUAGCUAUUUAAUCAAGUCUUCUGGGCACCGUCAGAUCAUUUGAGUGAAUCACUCAGGUCAAGGCACGAAAAUAAAAUAAGUUCCUUUAUCACCUCUUAUCUGCCCAGAGUAGAGUGUAUGUGAAAGUGAUGUAAGUGAUGACCUCUGUGAAACUGAAACAGCAAACGGCAGAGGAAAGAUCUCCUGCUGCACUGAGGCAGAGCUUUUCUAAGGUACCACUUCCCAGCCAACCCAUGCAGCAGCGCAGUAGACUGCCGGUGUUUCCAGGAGAGCCUAGCCCCCUGUUUGGGCAUCAAAACCAGCAGCAGGAUUGCAGAAAGAAGCUCGGACCAGGCUUCAAAAAGUCAAGGAGAAGGCGUUUGACCAUCUGUUGUACAGCUUGACACAGCAGCAUCAGGGCUCUUGCCCUGACCCACACUGAGGUGGGAAAUGGGUCACUUGAAGCCUUUGAUUUCAGCUUUUAGGUAUCGACAGACUCACUGUGCAACCAGACCAACUUAUAUGUCCUUAGGAAACCAGGCUAGUAGCAGCCUGGUAAGGAUCCAUAGUCUUGCCUGGCUAUUAAAUAAGAUAGUCUAGGAAUCACUAUAUUGGAGCACACCUUAAUGCUGCUAAAGGAGGAGAAACCAGAUCCCAGCCAUCCAGCCCAUAUUACUGGGUAAAAGUUGAAGGCAACACCUGGUGAGAUCUAAAAAAAACAGGAUCUGCUUCAACAUUUGACCUCUCCAGGAGUGUCCUGAGACCCACUCUGCC
RNAcentral lists this long non-coding RNA (1527 nucleotides) under Anas platyrhynchos platyrhynchos (common mallard). RNAcentral describes it as "lncRNA (ENSAPLG00000022088.1)". The record is from RNAcentral. Lineage: Eukaryota; Metazoa; Chordata; Aves; Anseriformes; Anatidae.